This 265-nucleotide unclassified non-coding RNA is filed under the name Hevea brasiliensis (rubber tree). The record is from RNAcentral. Lineage: Eukaryota; Viridiplantae; Streptophyta; Magnoliopsida; Malpighiales; Euphorbiaceae.
CAUGGCUUCUUACAAUAAUCUAGCUUCGUUGCCAUCUCCACAGCAAAAAUUCUCUCCUUGGCGAUCAUUCUCGGUGGCUGAUUUACAGCAAUGUGCCAGUAAUACAGCUACCCUUGACAAAACCGUUCACUAACUUGACGUUUUCAUGUACUUGUAUCCAACCCUAUAUAGACUUCAUUGCCAUGGGGUCACAGGGAAAGGGUUUUUGUCUUUUUUGUUUUUUUUCCCUCUAGUGUUUUCGAUGGAGUUUCAAUUCCUUUUACCU